CCUACGGGUGGCUGCAGUGGGGAAUAUUGGACAAUGGGGGCAACCCUGAUCCAGCCAUGCCGCGUGUGUGAAGAAGGCCCUCGGGUUGUAAAGCACUUUCAGUGAGGAAGAACGCCUGGUGGUUAAUACCCAUCAGGAAAGACAUCACUCACAGAAGAAGCACCGGCUAACUCCGUGCCAGCAGCCGCGGUAAUACGGAGGGUGCGAGCGUUAAUCGGAAUUACUGGGCGUAAAGCGCGCGUAGGUGGCUUGAUAAGCCGGUUGUGAAAGCCCCGGGCUCAACCUGGGAACGGCAUCCGGAACUGUCAAGCUAGAGUGCAGGAGAGGAAGGUAGAAUUCCCGGUGUAGCGGUGAAAUGCGUAGAGAUCGGGAGGAAUACCAGUGGCGAAGGCGGCCUUCUGGACUGACACUGACACUGAGGUGCGAAAGCGUGGGUAGCAAACAGGAUUAGAUCCCCAGUAGUC
RNAcentral lists this ribosomal RNA (464 nucleotides) under Vreelandella stevensii. RNAcentral describes it as "partial 16S ribosomal RNA". It matches the Rfam family "Bacterial small subunit ribosomal RNA", at positions 338 to 795 of the family's 1533-position model. Lineage: Bacteria; Pseudomonadati; Pseudomonadota; Gammaproteobacteria; Oceanospirillales; Halomonadaceae. The record is from RNAcentral.